AGAGUUUGAUCAUGGCUCAGAUUGAACGCUGGCGGCAGGCCUAACACAUGCAAGUCGAACGGUAACAGGAAGCAGCUUGCUGCUUUGCUGACGAGUGGCG
This 100-nucleotide ribosomal RNA is filed under the name Enterobacter hormaechei. RNAcentral's name for it is "Small Subunit Ribosomal RNA; ssuRNA; SSU rRNA". It matches the Rfam family "Bacterial small subunit ribosomal RNA", at positions 8 to 100 of the family's 1533-position model. The record is from RNAcentral. Lineage: Bacteria; Pseudomonadati; Pseudomonadota; Gammaproteobacteria; Enterobacterales; Enterobacteriaceae.